CGAACGCUGGUGGCGUGCUUAACACAUGCAAGUCGAACGGAAAGGCCCUGCUUUUGUGGGGUGCUCGAGUGGCGAACGGGUGAGUAACACGUGAGUAACCUGCCCUUGACUUUGGGAUGACUUCAGGAAACUGGGGCUAAUACCGGAUAGGAGCUCCUGCUGCAUGGUGGGGGUUGGAAAGUUUCGGCGGUUGGGGAUGGACUCGCGGCUUAUCAGCUUGUUGGUGGGGUAGUGGCUUACCAAGGCUUUGACGGGUAGCCGGCCUGAGAGGGUGACCGGCCACAUUGGGACUGAGAUACGGCCCAGACUCCUACGGGAGGCAGCAGUGGGGAAUAUUGCACAAUGGGCGGAAGCCUGAUGCAGCAACGCCGCGUGCGGGAUGACGGCCUUCGGGUUGUAAACCGCUUUCGCCUGUGACGAAGCGUGAGUGACGGUAAUGGGUAAAGAAGCACCGGCUAACUACGUG
This 466-nucleotide ribosomal RNA is filed under the name uncultured bacterium. Its description in RNAcentral is "partial 16S ribosomal RNA". It matches the Rfam family "Bacterial small subunit ribosomal RNA", at positions 30 to 507 of the family's 1533-position model. The record is from RNAcentral.